Ornithodoros turicata is the source of this 383-nucleotide long non-coding RNA. RefSeq lists it as uncharacterized. The transcript is spliced from 4 exons. The record is from RefSeq and is a predicted model, not a curated record. Lineage: Eukaryota; Metazoa; Arthropoda; Arachnida; Ixodida; Argasidae.
UGGGCCGUCCGGUUCCGUGUACACGAUUAAAUGCCCUCCACAAAUCGGUACGCCCGCACAAUAUUCUUGGCGUGUUGCAUGACUCGUGCAUCUGCAUACGGAGCCAAACGGUAAACUGCGUGAAGUAACCAUGAAGGCCACCAUUAUUCUUCUCGUGUUGCUCAUCGUUUCACUUGCAAUGAUCCAGGAGAUCUUGGGCCUUAGGUUCCCUAUGGAACCUCGCAUGUGGCGGGUCUUGGGAUUCCAAAAUGACUGCGAGUAUUAUGCUCACGGAGUGCGCAAGGAGUGCUGAAGAAUGUGCUGGUUCAACAAGCAUGAAACGCUUCGACGACAUCAUUGUCUGUGCAAGCCAAGUGUUUCAUUAAAUAUAUUCUUCAGCUAUG